CUUCAACGCGCCCAGCCACAGCGGCUGUUCGUCGGAGUGCGCCUGCCCGUACGUCGCCAGCAGCGCCUGCGCCUC
Molecule: antisense RNA, 75 nt
Filed under: Streptomyces rubellomurinus subsp. indigoferus
Lineage: Bacteria; Bacillati; Actinomycetota; Actinomycetes; Kitasatosporales; Streptomycetaceae
Description: ASpks sRNA
Rfam family: ASpks TB sRNA
Source: RNAcentral